This 253-nucleotide ribosomal RNA is filed under the name uncultured bacterium. RNAcentral describes it as "partial 16S ribosomal RNA". It matches the Rfam family "Bacterial small subunit ribosomal RNA", at positions 524 to 776 of the family's 1533-position model. The record is from RNAcentral.
UACGUAGGGUGCAAGCGUUAAUCGGAAUUACUGGGCGUAAAGCGUGCGCAGGCGGUUUUGUAAGUCUGAUGUGAAAUCCCCGGGCUCAACCUGGGAAUUGCAUUGGAGACUGCAAGGCUAGAAUCUGGCAGAGGGGGGUAGAAUUCCACGUGUAGCAGUGAAAUGCGUAGAGAUGUGGAGGAACACCGAUGGCGAAGGCAGCCUCCUGGGAUGACACUGACGCUCAUACACGAAAGCGUGGGGAGCAAACAGG